GGUUACCGAAUUCAGACAAACUCCGAAUGCCAAUUAAUUUAACUUGGGAGUCAGAACAUGGGUGAUAAGGUCCGUGUUCGAAAGGGAAACAGCCCAGACCACCAGCUAAGGUCCCAAAAUAUAUGUUAAGUGGAAAAGGAUGUGGCGUUGCCCAGACAACUAGGAUGUUGGCUUAGAAGCAGCCAUCAUUUAAAGAGUGCGUAAUAGCUCACUAGUCGAGUGACACUGCGCCGAAAAUGUACCGGGGCUAAACAUAUUACCGAAGCUGUGGAUUGUCCUUUGGACAAUGGUAGGAGAGCGUUCUAAGGGCGUUGAAGCAUGAUCGUAAGGACAUGUGGAGCGCUUAGAAGUGAGAAUGCCGGUGUGAGUAGCGAAAGACGGGUGAGAAUCCCGUCCACCGAUUGACUAAGGUUUCCAGAGGAAGGCUCGUCCGCUCUGGGUUAGUCGGGUCCUAAGCUGAGGCCGACAGGCGUAGGCGAUGGAUAACAGGUUGAUAUUCCUGUACCACCUAUAAUCGUUUUAAUCGAUGGGGGGACGCAGUAGGAUAGGCGAAGCGUGCGAUUGGAUUGCACGUCUAAGCAGUAAGGCUGAGUAUUAGGCAAAUCCGGUACUCGUUAAGGCUGAGCUGUGAUGGGGAGAAGACAUUGUGUCUUCGAGUCGUUGAUUUCACACUGCCGAGAAAAGCCUCUAGAUAGAAAAUAGGUGCCCGUACCGCAAACCGACACAGGUAGUCAAGAUGAGAAUUCUAAGGUGAGCGAGCGAACUCUCGUUAAGGAACUCGGCAAAAUGACCCCGUAACUUCGGGAGAAGGGGUGCUCUUUAGGGUUAACGCCCAGAAGAGCCGCAGUGAAUAGGCCCAAGCGACUGUUUAUCAAAAACACAGGUCUCUGCUAAACCGUAAGGUGAUGUAUAGGGGCUGACGCCUGCCCGGUGCUGGAAGGUUAAGAGGAGUGGUUAGCUUCUGCGAAGCUACGAAUCGAAGCCCCAGUAAACGGCGGCCGUAACUAUAACGGUCCUAAGGUAGCGAAAU
This 1030-nucleotide ribosomal RNA is filed under the name Xanthomonas citri pv. citri. RNAcentral's name for it is "partial 23S ribosomal RNA". It matches the Rfam family "Bacterial large subunit ribosomal RNA", at positions 934 to 1965 of the family's 2925-position model. Lineage: Bacteria; Pseudomonadati; Pseudomonadota; Gammaproteobacteria; Lysobacterales; Lysobacteraceae. The record is from RNAcentral.